AAAAUGCGAUAAGCAAUGCGAAUUGCAGAAUUCCGCGACUCAUCAGAUCCUUGAAUGCAAAUGGCGCUGAGUGGGGUAAACUCCCCUCGGCAUGUCUGUUUCAGUGUCUGAAAACAUCCUAAAAAGAUAUAAAUUUUGGCAGUGAUUCUUGUAAUGUGCUACCGAAAAUCUUAUCUAACUCAAUGUGCUUGACUUUGAGGCUAAUUUUGCUUCAUGAAAUGGUCUUACUUCAUUGUCUUGCAUGAAUUUAUGUGUGUUGAGGAUCUUUGGAUCCAUCGAAUUGGUCAUCGAUCUAACUCGAUGAUUUCGAUGUGAAAAAAAAUUUAUCCAAUUAUCCGUAUUGAAAAACAUAGAAUGUUCAUCAUGAACUAAAAGAAAACUCAAUCAUCUUUGCAUCUGAAAUCAGGCAAGAACACCCGCUGAACUUAA
This 429-nucleotide unclassified non-coding RNA is filed under the name uncultured fungus. RNAcentral describes it as "sequence contains ITS1". The stretch from base 1 to 109 matches the Rfam family "5.8S ribosomal RNA", at positions 50 to 154 of the family's 154-position model. Lineage: Eukaryota; Fungi. The record is from RNAcentral.